AUUGAACGCUGGCGGCAGGCCUAACACAUGCAAGUCGAGCGCGAAAACACUUCGGUGUGAGUAAAGCGGCGGACGGGUGAGUAACGCGUAGGAAUCUACCUAGUAGUGGGGGACAACUCGGGGAAACUCGAGCUAAUACCGCAUACGCCCUACGGGGGAAAGCGGGGGACCUUCGGGCCUCGUGCUAUUAGAUGAGCCUGCGUUGGAUUAGCUAGUUGGUGGGGUAAAGGCCUACCAAGGCGACGAUCCAUAGCUGGUCUGAGAGGAUGAUCAGCCACACCGGGACUGAGACACGGCCCGGACUCCUACGGGAGGCAGCAGUGGGGAAUAUUGCGCAAUGGGCGAAAGCCUGACGCAGCCAUGCCGCGUGUGUGAAGAAGGCCUUCGGGUUGUAAAGCACUUUCAAUUGGGAGGAAAGGUUCACGGUUAAUAACCGUGAGCUGUGACGUUACCUUUAGAAGAAGCACCGGCUAACUCCGUG
This 481-nucleotide ribosomal RNA is filed under the name uncultured bacterium. RNAcentral's name for it is "bacterial SSU rRNA". It matches the Rfam family "Bacterial small subunit ribosomal RNA", at positions 30 to 507 of the family's 1533-position model. The record is from RNAcentral.